UACGUAGGGUGCAGGCGUUAAUCGGAAUUACUGGGCGUAAAGCGUGCGCAGGCGGCUUCUUAAGUCAGAUGUGAAAUCCCCGGGCUUAACCUGGGAACUGCGUUUGAAACUGGGAAGCUAGAGUGUGGCAGAGGGGGGUGGAAUUCCACGUGUAGCAGUGAAAUGCGUAGAUAUGUGGAGGAACACCGAUGGCGAAGGCAGCCCCCUGGGCCUGCACUGACGCUCAUGCACGAAAGCGUGGGGAGCAAACAGG
This 253-nucleotide ribosomal RNA is filed under the name uncultured bacterium. RNAcentral describes it as "partial 16S ribosomal RNA". It matches the Rfam family "Bacterial small subunit ribosomal RNA", at positions 524 to 776 of the family's 1533-position model. The record is from RNAcentral.